This is a long non-coding RNA of Dendronephthya gigantea, 854 nucleotides long. RefSeq lists it as uncharacterized. The record is from RefSeq and is a predicted model, not a curated record. NCBI's taxonomy places the organism in Eukaryota, Metazoa, Cnidaria, Anthozoa, Malacalcyonacea, Nephtheidae. The transcript is spliced from 3 exons.
GAACCACUUUUACAAUAUUGGAGAUAUGUAGUGGAAUAAAUGCCUGGAAAGACAAUUAUUGUCUGACAAUAUAAACUAUAAAUUGAAACCGGAAUGCAAUGAUAAGAAAGGGAAAUAUGGAAUAAAUGCCUGGAAAUACAAUAUAAACUAUAAUUUUAAACUGGAAUGCAAUGAUAAGAAAGGGAAAUAAACUAUUGCUAAGUCUAAAGAACCACUGAAGCUGAAGAAUUGAGAUACAACAAUCUUUGACUGACUUUAGGUGUAAGACGUUCGCCCAGCUAUUGUAGACCGCAUGGAAUCGAUUCAAGUCCUUUAAAAAUUUGUGAAUCAAGAUGAGAAUGAACUUAGUGAAUCUAUUGGUGGCGAUCGAAGGUGGACAGCAAGAUCGAAGCUCAGCAAGAUUGAAGAUUGUUCGAAGAAGAAGGAGUUCGCCGUUGACUAAAAGGUUUAUCUGAACAGCUAGUUGUCAAGAUGAAUGCGAAGACUCGCCCGGCCAAAUUCAAAAUGGCGAUGCCAAAGAAAACCAUCCACCUGGACCGUUCGCAGACCUUUCUGGGCAAGAUUGUUGUGCUGUCUGGUCAAAGUUAAGUAUUUUACUUUGAUGUUUGUGUGCCUUCGGCUAAUUGUUGGCCAGAAAUGACAAAAAGCCAUAUACAAUAUGAAAUAUUCUGCGUACAAGGUUAUCUAAAAUUUCGAACUUAAUUCUGCCUGCAAUGAUGAUAAUUUUUUACUGAAAAUUUAUGUCAUGAGCAACUUCCGCACCUAUAGACUGAAGCAGAACUGAACAUUUUGUCAUUAACGUUUAUCUCAACAGCCAGUUAUCAAGACGAACGUCAAGAGAACAGUUGAAAUAG